Molecule: long non-coding RNA, 526 nt
Organism: Perognathus longimembris pacificus (Pacific pocket mouse)
Lineage: Eukaryota; Metazoa; Chordata; Mammalia; Rodentia; Heteromyidae
Exons: 2
Source: RefSeq, a predicted model, not a curated record
UGGGUUAGUGUCAUUUUUAUAAUCAGACUCAACUGGCCACUUCCAAAGCCCUGAUGCUGGAGGUGGCAGCGUCCUAGUUAUGGUGCUUAUCUAACUACCUAUAGCCUUUUCCUGGCUUUUUUCCCCAAGCCCUAAUUUCAAGAAUGUUGGAGAAAGCCAAGAAGAAACAAACCAGUCUUAUUUAAUAAGCUGAGGGAGGUUCAAGAAUUAGAAUUCCAUGGCCAGGGUACAGAAAGAGCAGAACAUAGGAGAACUGACUCAAACCAACCAUACAGCCACCCCUACAAAUCCUCACAGAAACUGUAAUUUGCAUUCAGAAGUUGUUCCACAGGGACUUCUGAUCCAAAAAAAAAAAAAACCCUCCCAGAUUAUCUUUAUGAAAUCAGACAUAUUAAUUAAAAGUCUACAUGCCUUUCCUCCUACCUGGUCUACAAGCACCCUUCCUUCUAUUUGGCUCCUAAAGCAGUGGAUGUCAAGCUUGUAUUUUACCAGCUCAAGAGAAAAUAUUCAUAAAAUCUAAUGGCUA